UCAACCCCCGUACCCAACUUGUUGCAUUCCUCUAGGGUCAUACUUUCAUUUUUAUCACCCACAUACUCUUUUAACCACAUUUUUUCACAUUUCUCAAACCAUACUUUCUCGCUACAUUUUUCCUAUCACGCGCUCAUUUUCACCUCACAAAUGGAAUUCCACUUUACCUUAUAUUCUAUUUUCACACAAACACUUGGAUUUUUCAUACAAUUUCACACAUGCACCUUUUCAUACACUUGCACACAAACACUUGGAUUUUUUAUACAAUUUCACACGUUCACCUUUUUAUACACUUGCACACUUGCACUUUAGCCAUCAUUUGCAUUAAUCGACCUCUAUAAGGUUUUCCUUUAUUGGCCGCCACAAUUCAUGUGGUUGGGACCAAAAACCUUACAAGAGACAUUUUAGAAUUUAGGUUUGCAUUUUUUCCUUCUUUUUGCAUUCAUGUAGUGCAUCCAAAUGUAAUAAAUUCUUUGGUUAAAACAAGAAAAUCUUUGAUUAAAUCAUGCAACUAGCCUUGGCUAGGUCAAAGGGGUGCCUUGGAUUUUAUCCUUGCCUUCCCCUUUGUCAAAUGUGACUCCCGAACCUUUUUCAUUGGUUUACGUAGAUUAGGAGUCGUUUAAAAAGGGUUUCUCACUACUUUUUCCUAUUUUUCUUUAAAAAUACAUUUUUUUAGGUGACUUGGUACACCUUAACUCAUUACCAAGUGGCGACUCCGUAUUUAGUUUUAAAAACCCUUUUUAAACUAUAAUUUUGGGUCAAAUCGUCGCAUUCUCAAAACCCCAUUUAGACCCAUUUUUCU
RNAcentral lists this long non-coding RNA (802 nucleotides) under Coffea arabica (coffee). Its description in RNAcentral is "long non-coding RNA (CARA_LNC006320)". The record is from RNAcentral. Lineage: Eukaryota; Viridiplantae; Streptophyta; Magnoliopsida; Gentianales; Rubiaceae.